CCACAGUUUAGGGCUGGCAAAGGAGAAGGCUCGGCCAGACAGUUGGUUUGGAGAUCUGUGUUGGGUUAGGAGAGAGGAUCGGAGACUUCGCUGAGGUACAUACACAGAGAUGAGAUGUUUGAGAUAGUCAGGAAUGUUAUCAUUGUAGAGGCAGUCAUGAGUGAUACUAGUGAUUU
Long non-coding RNA from Haliotis rubra (blacklip abalone), 176 nucleotides. RefSeq lists it as uncharacterized. The transcript is spliced from 3 exons. NCBI's taxonomy places the organism in Eukaryota, Metazoa, Mollusca, Gastropoda, Lepetellida, Haliotidae. The record is from RefSeq and is a predicted model, not a curated record.